UACAGAGGGGGCAAGCGUUAAUCGGAAUUACUGGGCGUAAAGCGUGCGUAGGCGGUUAGGUAAGUCGGGUGUGAAAGCCCCGGGCUCAACCUGGGAAUUGCAUUCGAGACUGCGUAGCUAGGGUGCGGAAGAGGGAAGCGGAAUUUCCGGUGUAGCGGUGAAAUGCGUAGAUAUCGGAAGGAACACCAGUGGCGAAAGCGGCUUCCUGGUCCAGCACCGACGUUCAGGCACGAAAGCGUGGGGAGCAAACAGG
RNAcentral lists this ribosomal RNA (253 nucleotides) under uncultured bacterium. RNAcentral describes it as "partial 16S ribosomal RNA". It matches the Rfam family "Bacterial small subunit ribosomal RNA", at positions 524 to 776 of the family's 1533-position model. The record is from RNAcentral.